Molecule: long non-coding RNA, 733 nt
Filed under: Panax ginseng (ginseng)
Lineage: Eukaryota; Viridiplantae; Streptophyta; Magnoliopsida; Apiales; Araliaceae
Description: long non-coding RNA (PGIN_LNC016211)
Source: RNAcentral
UCUAUACUUGGCCAAGAUUGAGACCUUUCAUUUUGAUAUUGUUCUUCCAUGUUUCUCCCUCUAACUAGAAAACUCUCUUUUUAAACCUUUGAGUUCCUCACUCUCUUUCAUCAUGGUCCCAUGGACAGAUCUCAUCACCUAUCAUCAAUAAUUUAUCUCUCCGACUAAAAUCAAAAGUGAAUUUUGUAAUUGUAAAAGUAAUAUCAUGAGUUUUUUCAGAAAUUGUGAAAUCAAGUUUUGGAGGAUAUAUUCAUGGGGUAUUUGAAAUCAACUUUUGAUUUUUGUUGAAGAAUUCGAUGUAAUUACAAAGUUUUUGGCAGAUUUUUGAAGGUUUAUAUUUUUCUAUCUAAAUUAGGUAUUAUGCGACUUUGGUGGAACGGCUUUUAUACUACACCUAGCUGGUAGCUAGUUGCUGGUGGAUCAGUGUUGGAGGCAAAAUAACUGUUAUACUGUAGAUGAUUGAUGAUGGUAGUCGUAGGUAAUGGUGUUCAUGUAGGUGAGAAUGGUGAAGGUAGGGGAAGAAGAAGACCGAUGAAUGAGAUUGUUGAAUUUUAUGUUUGUAAAUUAGUUUAAUAGGAUAAUUAUAAAAAUUAAAAAUUUAAUGGCGUCAGAUAAAAUGGGAUCCUUAGUUUUGCCUUAUUUUUAGGAGUCAAAGUCUGAAAAUUCCAAACAUCAUUAACAACCUUACUGUUAACCAAAACUCCCAGAAUGUUAAUAGAGAGAUAAAGAUGCG